RNAcentral lists this ribosomal RNA (253 nucleotides) under uncultured bacterium. RNAcentral's name for it is "partial 16S ribosomal RNA". It matches the Rfam family "Bacterial small subunit ribosomal RNA", at positions 524 to 776 of the family's 1533-position model. The record is from RNAcentral.
GACAGAGGAUGCAAGCGUUAUCCGGAAUGAUUGGGCGUAAAGCGUCUGUAGGUGGCUUUUUAAGUCUGCCGUCAAAUCCCAGGGCUUAACCCUGGACAGGCGGUGGAAACUACCAAGCUGGAGUACGGUAGGGGCAGGGGGAAUUCCCGGUGUAGCGGUGGAAUGCGUAGAGAUCGGGAAGAACACCAGUGGCGAAGGCGGUCUGCUGGGCCGUUGCUGACGCUGAGGCGCGACAGCGUGGGGAGCAAACAGG